RNAcentral lists this long non-coding RNA (250 nucleotides) under Bos taurus (domestic cattle). RNAcentral describes it as "long non-coding RNA NONBTAT016838". The record is from RNAcentral. Lineage: Eukaryota; Metazoa; Chordata; Mammalia; Artiodactyla; Bovidae.
CCUACCUAAAACCAGAGCCUCCCUCCUGCAGACUCAGGAAGAUUAACUGAGGCAAUGCUGGGACUACAGACCUCGCAACACCGCCGCCAACACUGGAGCGUCCACGGACUCCAGCUUCCGAGCACAGCAAGUAUAUCCGUUCCCUCAAGGGGCCACCGAACAUCAAGUGACUGCAAACAUGUGAAGUCCAGAGACUAAAGAAAGAACUCUCAGCCAACUGGGUAAGUCAGAUAAAGGAGUCAUAACAUCA